GGCCCUUUGGUCAAGCGGUUAAGACACCGCCCUUUCACGGCGGUAACACGGGUUCGAAUCCCGUAAGGGUCACCA
This 75-nucleotide transfer RNA is filed under the name Peribacillus huizhouensis. Its description in RNAcentral is "tRNA-Glu". It matches the Rfam family "tRNA". From Rfam's summary of the family: Transfer RNA (tRNA) molecules are approximately 80 nucleotides in length. The record is from RNAcentral. RNAcentral also lists the same sequence under 3 other names. Lineage: Bacteria; Bacillati; Bacillota; Bacilli; Caryophanales; Bacillaceae.